AAUAGAUACCCCGGUAGUCCACGCCGUAAACGAUGAGUGCUAAGUGUUAGAGGGUUUCCGCCCUUUAGUGCUGAAGUUAACGCAUUAAGCGCUCCGCCUGGGGAGUACGGCCGCAAGGCUGAAACUCAAAGGAAUUGACGGGGGCCCGCACAAGCGGUGGAGCAUGUGGUUUAAUUCGAAGCAACGCGAAGAACCUUACCAGGUCUUGACAUCCUCUGACAACCCUAGAGAUAGGGCUUCUCCUUCGGGAGCAGAGUGACAGGUGGUGCAUGGUUGUCGUCAGCUCGUGUCGUGAGAUGUUGGGUUAAGUCCCGCAACGAGCGCAACCCUUGAUCUUAGUUGCCAUCAUUUAGUUGGGCACUCUAAGGUGACUGCCGGUGACAAACCGGAGGAAGGUGGGGAUGACGUCAAAUCAUCAUGCCCCUUAUGACCUGGGCUACACACGUGCUACAAUGGACGGUACAAAGAGCUGCAAGACCGUGAGGUGGAGCUAAUCUCAUAAAACCGUUCUCAGUUCGGAUUGUAGGCUGCAAC
RNAcentral lists this ribosomal RNA (534 nucleotides) under uncultured bacterium. Its description in RNAcentral is "bacterial SSU rRNA". It matches the Rfam family "Bacterial small subunit ribosomal RNA", at positions 777 to 1311 of the family's 1533-position model. The record is from RNAcentral.